Molecule: unclassified non-coding RNA, 206 nt
Filed under: Hevea brasiliensis (rubber tree)
Lineage: Eukaryota; Viridiplantae; Streptophyta; Magnoliopsida; Malpighiales; Euphorbiaceae
Source: RNAcentral
AAAAAAUGGAUAAAAUUGCAAUAAAUUUUCAAAAUUUCAAAAAAUUUGGAUAAAUUUUUGUGCAUUUUGAAAUUUCGGUCGAUUCUACCAAGAUUUAAAGGAUUGGAUAAAUUUGCCAAAAUGCGAUAAGGUUUUGACUUUUUUUAGUCAAUAGGCUUAUUUGAUUCAUUUCACGGAAUCAGCGCAUUUGGCAGGAAGAACUAGCA